GUAAGUGGAAAUUAAUUGUAUAAAACUUGUAAUUACAAACUAGAUGUGUAACAUUUCCUAGAUAUGCUUCUUUGGUAUGUGGCCUCUAUUAUCAUUGUGAUAUUUUUCCUGUAAGAUCUCAAGUUUCUUAAUCUUAAAAUCUACCAAGCUGUCAGGUUGGGGAGGGAGCGCUAACAGUAGUGCCUACCUGCCCUGUGGGUACUGGCAUCUGUGUGCACAGAAAGCUCAUGGGCCAGCACAAGGAGGCUCCAUCUAGAGACCCAGGCAUGUGGCACAGACGGUGCAUGCCCUUACGGAGGUCUGAGCUCUGUGCUCGGAAACCAUGAACUCUGCUUGGGGAGCUGAGGUAGGGAGGGUUGAAGGGAGAUGGCAUAGAGCAAGAGUCCUAAAGGAAGAAGAGAGAGAAGGACAUUUCUGAUAGAGCAUACAACACAGGCAAAGGCCUCAGGGUGUGAGAGGCCAUGGCUUGCCUGAGAUCGAGGGCGCAAGGCAGGGCGGGGGAUGGGAAAAGUGUUGGGGCCACACUCUGAUAGCUCAACCAGAACACACUGUCUCUUGCCUCUAGGCAACAGGAGCCUUGGGAGGAUGCUGCAUAUUGUGGGGGUGGGGGGGGUGGGGGGUGGGUUUAGACCCGAUUUGGGAAAAUAACUGGCAGAGGGGCAAUGUGUGUUGGAGGGGAGAGAGCUUUGCAGCUCCUGGGAGAACACGAGGAGCGCCAGAGCUGGGCAGUGACUGUCGAAGGAGGGCGGAGUCCAGAGGUGCUUGGUGGUAGAAAGUCAGCGAAGUGAGGAUGAGAUUUGGAGGUGACAGGGAGGGAGGGGCUGGAGAUUUAUGACUUGGCGCAAUUAGGUGGACGGGGCUGUCACUGAGUCAGGGAAGGCAGAGGAAGAACAGGUUUGGGGUGGAGGCAUGGAGGAGGGGUGGUGAGGAUAUAUGCUAGUUGUAAAUGAUCUAGUUUUCUUCUGAGCAGCUUUUGGGCUCCUUAGAUUCCAAACUGACAUCACCAGGGGUUGAGUCUUGGUGAGGCAGCACGGUAGGCUGGCCAAGCCCACAGACUUCAGCCAACAGCCUGGAAUCAGAGCCCGGCUCCAUGCUUACCAACACGGCCCUGGGGAUGUAAUUGAACCUCUGUGUGUCUCCAGGUCGUCCUUUGUACAAUAUUACAGGACCGUAGGGCUGCUAAAAGUAUGGAUAAAAGAGUCCAUACAUGUGAAAUGCCUGGCCCACUCUAAGCACUAUAUAAAUAUUUGAUAUGGCCACAGGAAUGCCAGGGGCGAAACUUAGGCCCAUUUCCUCCUUCUGUCUUCAAAUAACUUCAGUUUGACUCAAAACCAACAUUUGUAGGCAGACAACUGAGCCCAUUCACAGAAUGGUGAAAUCACUGAAUAGUGAAAACAGUACAGCAGUAGCUGAUCAGAAAGUGGGAAGCUUUUUGUAAUUUUCCCCUUUCUCAUCACUACUUUCAUCAAAGCAUUUACUGAACAUCUGUUGGAUUUAGGGUUCUGUAGGAGCCAUGUCUCACGAAAGCCUGUCUAGUUAGUAAACCAGGACACACAUAAGCAGGCUAUGAUAAUGUCAAAAAUAGGCUGUGCUGUAGGUGCGGAGGAAUUGAAGAAAGUGAGUGGAGACAGAAUGAUCUGAGGGGUGCAGGAUCCUGGGUCCCUACCCUUCCUGGGCAGCAGUGGGAGAUGGGAGGGCGUGAUAGAGCUGGGUUCUAAGAGGCCAUUCCACAGCUCUGACCCUUGGGCUGUGGUGAGGAGGGGCAGGCGAAACCAACAUUACUGACUUUACUACCUGAUUCCCAUUCCACAUGAGGGCCGUGGGCUGCACUUAGCACGGGGCAAUUGCAACAAAACAAAACAACAAAAAACAAAACCAGUUUUAGAGCGGAAGAGCUGACCCUGUGAACUGCUGUGGCAGGAUGGACAGUGGAGGGGGAAGAGGCACAGAGCCCACCUCCCUACCCCCGGGGGCUCUGGGGCCGGAGCAGGUGACCGCUUGGGACCAGAGGAGCCUUUCCAGGGAGAUUUUUAUUCUGGUGUCAGUUGCUAAGGAGAGAAAGGUAAAAAUAAGUAUUCAUGUUUUACAACAUUUUCUUAUCCUCGAACAUGGCAAAGAAUACAUUUUUUUCCUACUUUAAACCUUGGGGGGAGUUUUAAAAAUUCAGGACCACCUUUUUCAUUGUAGGUAAUGUUUAACUUACUUACUUAAUUUAAAUUAAUGUGGACAACAAUGGUGACAAAAGGCAACUGCGUUUAAGUGGUAUUCUAACUAAAAAUUCCUUUGGGAGUGUCUGCAAGUCACCCAGUUCAACGCAAAUAUCCAUAAAACAUGUACUAAUUGUCCCAGAAGGGAAUGAUUGUUUCAGAAGGGCAGAAGGCCAACUGAGCUGAAAUACCAGGUUCUUAAUUUAUAAAGUCAAUAAAAGCACUCUUUUGUAAGCUCUUCUGAAGUCAUAGCAUAUUAUCAGGUAAGUCUGGCACUAAAGCUCUUUAUGCUUAAAUACUUCACAAGGGCACGAAACAAGGGAACAUACACUUAGAGCUGCUUGAAUUCGUUUUGUGAGAGACUUAAUACUGUGUGAAUUUACUCAGCUUUCAGGAACACAGAGGCAUUUUAAUUUUUUUAAAAAGUCACCAGCUACAUACUCAAGAUAAAAACACACACUCUUAACUACCUGCAGUUUAUAAUAAUCCACAGAACUUUUACAGCAGGCCUACUUUGGAAACUGUAUUCAAGGUCUUGCUGAAGAUUCGGGAAAUCAUGCUCCUUUCUUAUUUAAACAAUAUGUUGUCUUCUUGUGUGAAUAGAGGGAUGAAUUAAUACUCCUUUUUUUUUCUAGGUGGCUUUGUGCCAAUGGAGGGAAAAAGAAAGAUAACAAGGAACUAGACACUGUGGGUGAACUCCUGGCCUCCUGCUGCGAGGCGCCUGAGGACCCUGGGCUCUCCCUCCUCGGUUUGGGCUUCAGAGGACCCUGGGCUCUCCCUCCUCGGUUUGGGCUUCAGAAGGUGGCUCCACUUCUGGGUGGCAGUGACAGGCAGACCUGCUGAGAGCCCAGAGAGAAAUACUACCCUGCAGGGAGAUAAGGUCAUCAACCUGCCACCACUGGUAUAUUCCCAUAAUAAUGUCCACUGGUCCCAGUCGAGAGGCACCCACUCCUUUUCCUCUUGUCUAACACAGGAGUCUCGAGCUGCCUAAAGAAACCCAUUUUUGGGAAGAGGAUUAAAAACAAACAAACAAACAACAAAACUGUGCUCCAAAUGUAUAUAACCCUGUAGAUUAAUGAAACAUUUGGGCCAAAGUUCUGUAUUCUCAUAGGCAAAGACUCUCAUAGUAUUAAUAUAUUCACUGAUUUUAAAUUAUUUUUAACUUAAAGGUUUUGUUUUAAUCUGCUGUGAUGAAAUCUUGGAUCACUAUAGCUGUAAAUGAGUAGAUUUAUCUAGAUAUGUUAAAUGAACAAAUGUAAAAUGUUCGAUACAGCACAGGUGCUUAAUAAGUUGGCUUCAGAGCCGUGUUUUUCCAACAUGUUCUGAUGAUCCAAGUUUGAUACUUAAGACAAUUAAAAACAAGAAAUUUAACUUAGUUUCAGCACAUGUAUGGUAUAUAUAUUUGUAUGGCUAUGAGCUUAGGCUGGUCGUAGACAUAAGACAAUUGAAGCACUCUUUUCCACAGGUAUCGGCCGCAUUCUGUUUCACUCCCUAUAAGCAUUUGAUUUUGCACUACAGGUAUUACUGAGACCAUGUGGAAUCUCACUUAGUUUUAUUUCCCUUUAGGGUAGUUGCCUAAAUCAUAAAAUUAUGCUUCACUGUAGUGGUAGGAAAUCUAAUUUAUUUAUUUAUAAGAUGGAGUCUCAUUCUGUUGCCCAGGCUAGAGUGCAGUGGCAUGAUCUCAGCUCACUGCAACCUCUGCCUCCUGGGUUCAAGCGAUUCUCCUGCCUCAGCCUCUCAAGUAGCUGGGAUUACAGGCACCUGCCACAAACUCUCAGCAAAUUUUUGUAUUUUUAGUAGAGACAGGGUUUCACUAUGUUGGCCAGGCUGAUCUUCAACUCCUGACCUCAAGUGAUGCACCCACCUUGGCCUCCCAAAGUGCUGGGAUAACAGGCAUGAGCCACCCUGUGCCCACACCUGGCCAAGAAAUAAUCUAAUUUUUUUAAAAAGACAUAAAAUGUGUUCAUGAAAGAGAUUCCACCCAAAUCAACACAUAAAUCACUCUAGUGGCAAAGUAGUUUAUUUAUUAUGUUUCCUUAAAGGAGAUUAAGACUCGACUCCUCUCCCAGCCGGGGCAGCCCGGGAACUCAGCGCCCCCCUCCAGUGGUGCCCAGAGCCUCCCAGCGCCAUGUCCAUCUCUCUUCCUCUUGGCAUCCAUUGUGGCACUCAGCCCACCUCUGCCUCAUUUCAUGAUUGUGUGCUUUUGUAGUUUAGAAACAGCUGCGGCAAGCAUUUAGGUAAAGGCCUCAAGCAGACAACCUACAGGGUGCUCCGUGUCAGUGCAGGUGCCUGGGCAGAGAAGCUGCGGCACAGCUGCAGAGCACCAGUGACUGUCCCACCCUGGAGCCUGGAGCGAACCAGAGGACUUGUUAAAACAGAUUGUUGGACCCACACUGUGUUUCUGGAUUGGGAGUCAGGAGUAGGCCUGAGAAUGUGCAUUUCUAAUGAGUGCCCAGGUAAUGCUGAUGUCACUGGUCCAGGGACCACACUUUGAGAACCAAUGUGAUAAUCAAGAAAUGUCUUUUGAAUCAAAUUUACUAAAAUAUUCAUAAACCUUUCUCCACCCGAAGGAUGCAAACGAAAGGGAGACACAGAGACUGUCAAAGCUAUAGGCAGUCUGCAGGUGAUGAUUUUAUUUUUUUAAAUGUGGUUUGGAAUCUGGAGUCUGAGACCUGGACCCAAAUCUCACCACAGCUUUGUGCUGGCUGAGCACCCUGGGAAGGAAGGUAACUUCACAGCGGAACCCCUAGCCCCACACCUAUUAUCUAAAGACGAUUGCAUGGCCCCCAGAACAGUGGGGACUGAAUUUCGUAUGGCAGGACCUCAUCUGAAUAUACAGUAGGUGCUCAAUACGUGCUAUUACCCUCUUCCCUUUUUGGCAGUAGACAGAUAAGCUUUUUCUAUGACUGAUACCAUUUUUAGAUGUGAAAACACUGACUCCUAGAGAGUAACAUUUCAUCACUAGCCUUCAAUGGUAAUUCAUACAAUUGGAAAUGCAUGGAAAGCCAUAUUUUUCACUUCCUUCUCCUCUCUUGUUAAUCUUAUCUCAUAUUCAUGGAACUUGUUAGCAACUUUGAUUUUUUUAUUCAAAGGAAGUGCCAUAACACUUCAAAUCAUGUCAAUUCCAUGACACUCAUCUUCAAAAAAGAUCUUUCAGUUCAAAUCUUAGAAAGCAAGUUUUUAAAUUAUAAAAGAUAUGCUUCUUAUAUUCUCCAAAUCCUGCUCCUGAACAGGGAUAUUGUUUCAAUAGUUUGUUCCUUUUUCACAGCUGAGCAGUGUUUCAUUGUAUGGAUAUCCACCAUGUGUUUAUCCAUUCACCUGCUGAUGGCUGUUUGGGUUGUUUUCCCUUUUUUUUGCUAUUCCAAAUAAAGUUGCUAUGAAUAUUUGUAUACAAGUCUUUGUGUGGAAACAUGCUUUUAUUUUUCUUGGGUAGACACCUAGUAGUGGAAUGGCUGGGUCACAUGGUAGGUCUAAUUUUCACUUUUAAGAAACUACCAAACCAGGCUGGGCGCAGUGGCUCACAUCUGUAAUUCCAGCACUUUGGGAGACAGAGGUGGGAGGAUCACCUGAGGUCACGAGUUCAAGACCAUCCUGAGCAGCAUAGCAAGACCCCAUCAUCUUUACAAAAAAAUAAAAUGUCUAUUGAAUCAAAUUUACUUAAUAUUCACAAACUUUUCUCCACCGGAAGGAUGUGAAGAAGGGGAGACAGAGACUGUUAAAGCUAUAGGCAGUCUGCAGGUGAUUUUUUUUUUUUUAAUGUGGUUUGGAAUCUGGAGUCGGAGACUUGGGCCCAAAUCUCACCACAGCUUUGUGCUGGCUGAGCAUCCUGUAUAUAAUUUAAAUCAAUGUGUAAGUCUCAUUAUAAAAAGUUACAAAAAUUAGGCUGGGCACGGUGGCUCACGCCUGUAAUCCCAGCACUUUAGGAGGCCAAGGCGGGUGGAUCACGAGGUCAGAUCGAGACCAUCCUGGCUAACACGGUGAAACCCCAUCUCUACUAAAAAUUCAAAAAUUAGCUGGCGUGGUGGUGGGCGCCUGUAGUCCCAGCUACUCAGGAGGCUGAGGCAGGAGAAUGGCAUGAAGCCGGGAGGCGGGGCUUGCAGUGAGCCGAGAUCGUGCCACUGCACUCCAGCCUGGGCGACAGAGUGAGACUCUGUCUCAAAAAAAAAAAAAAAGUUGCAAAAAUUAAAAAAUAUUAAAAGUUGUAGUCAGCCAGGCGUGGUGGCUCAUACCUGUAAUCCCAGCACUUUGGGAGGCUGAGGUGGGAGGAUCACUUGAGCCGAGAAUUUCAAGACUAGCCUAGGCAACAUACUGAGACCUCUGUCUCUACAAAAAAUAAAAAAUUUAGCUGGAUAUGAUGGCACAUGCCUGUGGUCUCAGCUAGUCAGGCUCAGGAGGAGCAUUUGAGCCAGGGAGUCAAAGCUGCAGUGAGCCAAGGUCACACCACUGUACUCCAGCCUGGGUGACACAGCAAGACCCUGUCUCAAAAAAAAAAAAAAAAAAAAAAAAAAAAAGAAAAGAAAAAAGAAAACCUUACAAUAAGUGAAACAGGUAGAGAGUAACAAAAUACAUUCAAUUCAAAAUGAACUCUCUAACCACUGCUCACAUCCCCACUACGGUGUACUCAUCAGAGUAGUCAGUGAUACUUUUAUGAUAUACGUUGGAUCACAUCAUUCUUUUGUUUAAAAAUUUCCAGUGGCUUCCUGUGACAUUUGAGAAAAAAGCCAACCGUGGUAAGGUCAUCCUUACCGUGACCUCAGAGCAACCUCUACCAUCCCACCUGCCCAUCUGCUCUCCCUCUCCCCUUUAUCCACAGUGCUCCAGCCACUCUGGACACCCUGCCAGUCCUUGACUGCAUCCAGCAUGCCCCUGCUCAGAACCUCUGCACAUCUUUCCUCUGCCUGGGCUGAUCUCCCCCUGGAUGGCUGCAUGGCUGCUCGUGCUACUGUGUUCCAGGCAAGUUGGUCUCUGCUCUAAUGCCACUGCCCCAGAGGAUCCUCCCUCAGCCGCCCUUUAAAAAAUGGCCUACCUUAUCAUUUAUCUUUUCUUGCUUUUUCUUCAUUGUACUUAAUUCCCUCAAAAAUAAUAUAUAUUUUUACUAUCAGCUUUCACCUAGUUGGAACCUAUGAUCUUUAAAGGUGGGGGUCUUGUUCAGUGCUGUAUCCCCAGUGCUUAGAACAUGCCUGAACACAGGAGUUGCUAUCUGUUGCAUGCAUAAAUGAACUCAGAACAAGAAUGCCUGAUUUUCCAAUGUCCAUACCAGGUUUUACACAUCUUUAUAAUCUUUGCCAAUCCAGUAUGUGGGAAACAGUAUUCAUUUCAAUUUGUAUUUCUUGAGUAUAAGUGAGGUCGAGUAUCCUAUGAUGUUUUUUGGCUUGGCCUUCAGAAAACUAAUUUUUCUUUUCUUUUUUUUUUUUUUGAGACAGAGUCUUGCACUGUCACCCAGGCUGCAGUGCAGUGGCGCAAUCUCGGCUCACUGCAAGCUCCGCCUCCUAGGUUAACGCCAUUCUCCUGCCUCAGCCUCCUGAGUAGCUGGGACUACAGGCGCCCGCCACC
Molecule: long non-coding RNA, 7760 nt
Filed under: Homo sapiens (human)
Lineage: Eukaryota; Metazoa; Chordata; Mammalia; Primates; Hominidae
Description: HSALNT0027191
Source: RNAcentral